GCGGCCCAUUAGCUAGUUGGUGGGUCAAGGCCUACCAAGGCAACGAUGGGUAGCUGGUCUGAGAGGACGAUCAGCCACACUGGGACUGAGACACGGCCCAGACUCCUACGGGAGGCAGCAGUGGGGAAUCUUGCGCAAUGCGCGAAAGCGUGACGCAGCAACACCGCGUGAGGGAAGACGGCCUUAGGGUUGUAAACCUCUUUCAGAUGGGACGAAGGUGAUGCGGUGAAUAGCCGAUGUCAUUGACGGUACCGUCAGAAGAAGCUCCGGCUAACUACGUG
Molecule: ribosomal RNA, 281 nt
Filed under: uncultured bacterium
Lineage: Bacteria
Description: partial 16S ribosomal RNA
Rfam family: Bacterial small subunit ribosomal RNA
Source: RNAcentral